CUCACCGCUGCCCAGGGCGGAGGAAACACCCUUGAUUCGUGGGGCUGGGAACGCGGCUCCCCCCGCCUGGCUAAGGCUCCGCAGCGUCCUGGAGCCGCUUCGGCGGGGGCUGCCCGGACAUGAGGCUUUGAGUCAGAUGGAUAUUACAGCAAAUUACAACCAAAAUGAUGAAAUGAAGGUACUGAAAGCAAAGCAGUACUGGACCAUAUGGAACAAAAUGAAUUUUGCUUCAGUGUGGAUAUGCAUUGGAAAUUUGAGGACCAGUGCACAGGCUAGACACACAAGGGAUCAGAAUUAAGGUUGCAGUAGCUGCAGCAGCAACUGCAAUAACGCUGUUUUCCCUGGAGCCAGAGAAGGAAAGAUGGGCACCCUCCUUGCUCCAACAACUGCAUCCCUUUCCCUGUGCAGCCCAAGCUGUGGAGCUCUCAGAAGGUUUCAUGGGCGUGGGGACUGUGCCACUGAGAUAGCUGAGCCUUGCUGUUAUUCAGAGCUGCCAAAAAAAAGAAUAGAAGCCUGAAGUCAGUGGCAGACCAAGAGCCAAUGUGUUUGUCUGGAGCAGAAGGGAGAAAUGAGAGAGGCAGAUGAGCAUGGGAAAACAAGAAGAAAGGAGACAACAAUCAGGGACAGCUGAGAAGAGGGAAGUAAGAGAAAAUAAAGCGUGGUGAUACAGAUAUGAAAAUUCAUUAUUUAUCAUAGUGUAAAUAAUGGCACAUUCCUCACCAAACAAACGAGCCCAAGGUUGUAAGUCCACCUUAAGCAUUAAGAUAAUACAAAUGAACCCAAUGAUAUUGAUGAAUAUCUCAUGUUGUUUGAUGUUAUGAGAACUCAUUGAUGGAAAUACCACCUUACUGUUUGCAGACAGCUGGACAGUAUUUAGUAUGUUAAUGUUUGUGAAAUGUUUAUAGAUUAAUAUACACUA
Molecule: long non-coding RNA, 919 nt
Organism: Mauremys reevesii (Reeves's turtle)
Lineage: Eukaryota; Metazoa; Chordata; Testudines; Geoemydidae
Exons: 5
Source: RefSeq, a predicted model, not a curated record